Molecule: non-coding RNA, 27 nt
Filed under: Mus musculus (house mouse)
Lineage: Eukaryota; Metazoa; Chordata; Mammalia; Rodentia; Muridae
Source: RNAcentral
UGAUCCCAGGUUUCCAGCACCAGAUGA